UGCAUUGGUCAAUUACUGUGCAAUUACUUGCAUAGAGGAAAGUCCGCGCUAGCACAAGCUGAGAUGCUUGUAGUGUUUGUGUUGAAUUUAAUAAAUUCAAGCUUAGACGACUAGUGCCACAGAGACGAGUCUAUUAAUUUAGAGUGAAACGCGGUAAACUCCACAAGCUAGAAACCCAAAUUUUGGUAGGGGAAUCAAUUCAAGGAAAAUGAACUAAGAAUUGGAAAUUUUUUUAAAAAAAAAAAUUUAGAUAAAUGAUUGACACUCAAAAGAGAACAGAACGCGGCUUAUAGAU
Molecule: RNase P RNA, 295 nt
Filed under: Mycoplasma sp.
Lineage: Bacteria; Bacillati; Mycoplasmatota; Mollicutes; Mycoplasmatales; Mycoplasmataceae
Description: RNase P RNA component class B
Rfam family: Bacterial RNase P class B
About the family: Ribonuclease P (RNase P) is a ubiquitous endoribonuclease, found in archaea, bacteria and eukarya as well as chloroplasts and mitochondria.
Source: RNAcentral